Non-coding RNA from Castor canadensis (American beaver), 521 nucleotides. Lineage: Eukaryota; Metazoa; Chordata; Mammalia; Rodentia; Castoridae. The record is from RefSeq and is a predicted model, not a curated record.
AAGCCAUGACAAACACAGAGGAAGAAUAUGGGGCAAAGUGUGUUCUGGGGAGAAAAGGGAAGUGGGGAUCUGUUUCUCGGUGCCUAUCAACAGAUCGACGUGGUCUUCGUACACAGUGGAGUCUUACUCAGCCAUUAAGAAGAGUGAAAUCGUGUCAGAAAAUGGAUGGGAGUGGAGACCAUCAUUCUAAGUGAAAUAAGCCAGCCCUGCAGAGGGAAAGGUUUUCUGUCCUUUGUGGAAGCCAGGGGAAAGCACCACAAAAUAACCAAAUGGAGAAAGCGGAAGGGGAAAGAAGGGCGAUGGAUGGGGCGGACAGAACCACAGAUCCCACUGCAGGUAUCACAGUCACUUGUGUGGACAUGUCCACAGGAAAAAGUCCCCCUACCUGCUUGAUGCCUGGCCUCCCUCCUCCCACAGCUCGGCUGCGAGGGAGCCUUACGGAUGGCCACACGUUAGAUUGCCUCUCUAGCGGGCUCUCGUCCCUCAACAGGAUCGUGGGCAGCAGGCCGGGGAGAGCUCGC